RNAcentral lists this ribosomal RNA (509 nucleotides) under uncultured bacterium. Its description in RNAcentral is "partial 16S ribosomal RNA". The stretch from base 20 to 332 matches the Rfam family "Bacterial small subunit ribosomal RNA", at positions 47 to 358 of the family's 1533-position model. The record is from RNAcentral.
GACGAACGCUGGCGGCGUGCUUAACACAUGCAAGUCGAACGGAAAGGCCCUGCUUUUGUGGGGUGCUCGAGUGGCGAACGGGUGAGUAACACGUGAGUAACCUGCCCUUGACUUUGGGAUAACUUCAGGAAACUGGGGCUAAUACCGGAUAGGAGCUCCUGCUGCAUGGUGGGGGUUGGAAAGUUUCGGCGGUUGGGGAUGGACUCGCGGCUUAUCAGCUUGUUGGUGGGGUAGUGGCUUACCAAGGCUUUGACGGGUAGCCGGCCUGAGAGGGUGACCGGUCGGGGGGGAGGGGGAGGGCGGCCUAGGUUCGGGAGAGGGGAAGAGGAGGGGAGCGCAGAACGGAGGAGGGACGGGUGAUGCAGCGAGGCCGGGGGGGGGGUGGCGGCGUGGGGUAUGUUAGGCGGUGGCGGGUGGGACGGGGGGGGGGAGCGAGUAAUGGGUAAAGAAGCACUGGCUAACGACGUGCCAGCGGCAGGUGUACGAGCCGGAGGAGCAGACGACGGAAA